RNAcentral lists this ribosomal RNA (506 nucleotides) under uncultured bacterium. RNAcentral describes it as "partial 16S ribosomal RNA". It matches the Rfam family "Bacterial small subunit ribosomal RNA", at positions 29 to 523 of the family's 1533-position model. The record is from RNAcentral.
AGUGAACGCUGGCGGUAGGCCUAACACAUGCAAGUCGAACGGCAGCACAGGAGAGCUUGCUCUCCGGGUGGCGAGUGGCGGACGGGUGAGGAAUACAUCGGAAUCUACUUUUUCGUGGGGGAUAACGUAGGGAAACUUACGCUAAUACCGCAUACGACCUACGGGUGAAAGCAGGGGACCUUCGGGCCUUGCGCGAUUGAAUGAGCCGAUGUCGGAUUAGCUAGUUGGCGGGGUAAAGGCCCACCAAGGCGACGAUCCGUAGCUGGUCUGGGAGGAUGAUCAGCCACACUGGAACUGGGACACGGUCCAGACUCCUACGGGAGGCAGCAGUGGGGAAUAUUGGACAAUGGGCGCAAGCCUGAUCCAGCCAUACCGCGUGGGUGAAGAAGGCCUUCGGGUUGUAAAGCCCUUUUGUUGGGAAAGAAAUCCAGCUGGCUAAUACCCGGUUGGGAUGACGGUACCCAAAGAAUAAGCACCGGCUAACUUCGUGCCAGCCGCCGCCGUAA